GCCAGUAAGAAACAUCCCUCCAUGGCCUCUGCAUCAGCUCCUGCUUCCUGACCUGCUUGAGUUCCAGUCCUGACUUCCUUUAGUGAUGAACAGCAAUGUGGAAGUGUGUGAUGGUUUGAAUGAGAAUGACCCCAGGGGCUGCUUUUUUGACAUAUGUGACUGCUUCAUCCCCAGCUGGUGAACUGUCUAUACCUCAGGAUGGACACUCCCAGCUCCUGCUGCAGCAUACUUGUCUGCCUACAGCCAUGAACGAUCGUGGACUCACCUUCUGCAACUGUCAGCAAGCCUCCAAUUAAAUGCUUUUCUAAAAGUUGCCUUGAUCAUAG
Molecule: long non-coding RNA, 326 nt
Organism: Apodemus sylvaticus (European woodmouse)
Lineage: Eukaryota; Metazoa; Chordata; Mammalia; Rodentia; Muridae
Exons: 3
Source: RefSeq, a predicted model, not a curated record